AGAGUUUGAUCCUGGCUCAGAGCGAACGCUGGCGGCGUGCUUAACACAUGCAAGUCGAACGCGCAGUUCGGUGUAGCAAUACAUCGGGCGGGCGCGUGGCGAACGGGUGCGUAACACGUGGAUAACCUUCCUUCAGGUGGGGAAUAACUCGUCGAAAGGCGAGCUAAUACCGCAUAACAUUGCGAGGACACAUGUUCUUGCAAUCAAACCCGCAACGGGCCAGUAGAGGGAUCCGCGGCCGAUUAGCUAGUUGGCGAGGUAACGGCUCACCAAGGCAAAGAUCGGUAGCCGGUCUGAGAGGAUGAUCGGCCACACUGGAACUGAGACACGGUCCAGACUCCUACGGGAGGCAGCAGUGGGGAAUCUUGCGCAAUGGGCGAAAGCCUGACGCAGCAACGCCGCGUGGGGGAUGAAGCUUCUCGGAGUGUAAACCCCUUUCGACCCGGACGAAGGCCCGCAAGGGCUUGACGGUACGGGUAUAAGAAGCCCCGGCUAACUAC
Molecule: ribosomal RNA, 500 nt
Filed under: uncultured bacterium
Lineage: Bacteria
Description: bacterial SSU rRNA
Rfam family: Bacterial small subunit ribosomal RNA
Source: RNAcentral